RNAcentral lists this ribosomal RNA (465 nucleotides) under uncultured bacterium. RNAcentral's name for it is "bacterial SSU rRNA". It matches the Rfam family "Bacterial small subunit ribosomal RNA", at positions 338 to 795 of the family's 1533-position model. The record is from RNAcentral.
CCUACGGGUCGCACCAGUGGGGAAUAUUGCACAAUGGGCGCAAGCCUGAUGCAGCCAUGCCGCGUGUGUGAAGAAGGCCUUCGGGUUGUAAAGCACUUUCAGCGGGGAGGAAGGCGGUGAGGUUAAUAACCUCAUCGAUUGAGGUUACCCGCAGAAGAAGCACCGGCUAACUCCGUGCCAGCAGCCGCGGUAAUACGGAGGGUGCAAGCGUUAAUCGGAAUUACUGGGCGUAAAGCGCACGCAGGCGGUCUGUCAAGUCGGAUGUCAAAUCCCCGGGCUCAACCUGGGAACUGCAUUCGAGACUGGCAGGCUAGAGUCUUGUAGAGGGGGGUAGAAUUCCAGGUGUAGCGGUGAAAUGCGUAGAGAUCUGGAGGAAUACCGGUGGCGAAGGCGGCCCCCUGGACAAAGACUGACGCCCAGGUGCGAAAGCGUGGGGAGCAAACAGGAUUAGAUACCCCAGUAGUC